Molecule: transfer RNA, 82 nt
Filed under: Gemmatimonadaceae bacterium
Lineage: Bacteria; Pseudomonadati; Gemmatimonadota; Gemmatimonadia; Gemmatimonadales; Gemmatimonadaceae
Description: tRNA-Leu
Rfam family: tRNA
About the family: Transfer RNA (tRNA) molecules are approximately 80 nucleotides in length. Their secondary structure includes four short double-helical elements and three loops (D, anti-codon, and T loops).
Source: RNAcentral
GCGGGAGUGGCGGAACUGGCAGACGCGCUGGACUUAGGAUCCAGUGGGUAACUCCGUGCGGGUUCGAGUCCCGCCUUCCGCA